GGGAAAUAACAAUUACAUGACAAUCCUGUCUUCCAAAUGAAUUUAAAAACAUUUUGUUUUUAUAAACAAUCAUAACUAAUUAGAAAGAAAGAAAAAACACACAUACACACUGAAAAUAACAUGUGUUUAUGUUGCAACAACUUUAUUGUUGAUAAACAACUGCCAACCUGUACCAGAAACAAACAAUGGUUUGGAACAAACUAUACACCACGAACGACAACUCGACCUAGAAUGUUACUCACAUUUGUUGAUAAUGUAAACAAACAUCGAUUUACAAAAAAAGCGGUAAUAUGUAGCAAUUAACAACAAUCAGAAUGCUGUAGUAAAGAUCAUCAGGAAAUUAAUCUGGCUUGCCGCCCCGAGAUGCCGAUAAGUGAUAUUUUACAAAAUCAUGUUUUCAGGGGACGUGAUGAAUUGUCCUUGCCAAAAUUACAAAUAAUUCAGGUAUCUAACAUUUCUAACAUAUAUUGAUACCACGAUAAUACAUUGAUAAUACUGCCUUGUUAAAUAUACCUUAUUGUCAAAGAAUGCAGCAAUAAUUCUGUUGUCAACGGCCAAAGAAAAAUCGGGAUGAUCAAGCAUGGAAUUCCGGAAAUUGACCGUCUCCAAAAAUAUUAAAUUCUAAAAUUGAGUUAUCGUCCUUUUCGCGCCAGACGACUAUUGAAAAGGCUA
RNAcentral lists this long non-coding RNA (672 nucleotides) under Mytilus galloprovincialis (Mediterranean mussel). The record is from RNAcentral. Lineage: Eukaryota; Metazoa; Mollusca; Bivalvia; Mytilida; Mytilidae.